UGUACGGAUCUCGUAAUUUGAUUUUCCGUUCUGAAACGGGUAUUGAAAAACAAAAAACGAGUGGUUAUUUGAUUUUCGUUUUAAAAUACAAAAAUUAAAAUUGAAAUACAAGGCGUUUUUCCUUUUCAUGAUCAAAAAGGGAUAUACGAUUUUUUUUAAAAAAAUGCUUUGAUUUUCGUUUUAUAUUUAGAAUAACAAGAAAGUAAAAUCAGUAAGAGACAGAAACGAAAAAAGGUCAGUUUUUUCAUUUUCUGAGACCGGAAGUGGUCAUCAGCAAGUGUGGAGCCAAACAGAGUACGGUGCAUAGACUGUACAUAGAUUUUCUUUCGUUAGUUUUCAUGGUCACAAUGAGAGAUCAGGUGGCCAAUCCUAAAAUUAAUCAAUAUUGAAUUUUAUAUAGAGCGUUAAAGUUUUGCGAAGCCAGGGGGCGGGGUUACUUGAUUGACAGGCUGGUCUGGAAUGAUUGACAGGUCCCAUGGAGGAAGCAGAGACUCUGCUCUCCUCCUUUGGAUUAAUUCUGAUAUAAUAACUGUUGGUUUGUUUAUCGGUGGAGCAGCAGAACAUUUUCGACAGACAGUUUUCCUGCCCGUUGGCUUGUUUUAACCAGUUUUCUACCUUCGGCUGAUUCUACCAGCAGACACUGAAAGGACUCUAAUAGUUCGAGUGAAAGUAGCAGUUCCUCCUUAAGGUCAGAGAUUGCAGCAUCUGAGGGCCUCUUCAAAAGAAGACGUAGUUGAUGAAGGCGUUCUGGAGCAGGACCAGAAAGAACACGACCAAGCAGCCCUGAGAUCUUAGGCAGCGUCUCCCUCGGUCAAAGGUCCCUCUCUAUCUCCCCACACAUCCACCAACCACUGGAACACAUCUCCAAAGUUCUGCCGGUCCAGCUCAGCUUCCCCUCAGAAGAAGUUCCACCAGAUGAAGGAGCCUUUUGAGAGGCAGCUGGCAUCGUGAUUGGACUGUACUUUGGUCUGUUCCAAUCCAGCUUCAGCUCCAGAGACGGCAGGCGGGACGAGUCAACGGAGGCCGGGUGGACGAAGGCAUGCAGCUGAUGGCUGUAAAAAGUCAGUCCAUCCUGACCGACUUCAACACCUCUUCAAGACAGCUUGUUCUGCCUCCGACCUGGUGGAAACUCCAGAAACUCGGGAAAACCCGUGGAGACUCGAAGAACUCGUGGCGACUCGAAGAACUCGUCGGGCGGGGGAAGGUGUGGUGGGCGGUGGGGGAAGGUGGGGGAGUAGAGGGGGGAGGCCGCCACCCACCUCCCCACCUACUCUCCGCCCUGACUCCACCCAGACUCCGCCUUGGCUCUGCCCAUGUGGUCACUUCACGAACUACGAUGCCAAAGGGACGACGAAUUUAUUUCUUUUCAUCUGAUCUGUAGCUCAGUGAGUUAAGGAUUUGCCUGUGGAGC
This is a long non-coding RNA of Amphiprion ocellaris (clown anemonefish), 1411 nucleotides long. NCBI's taxonomy places the organism in Eukaryota, Metazoa, Chordata, Actinopteri, Pomacentridae. The record is from Ensembl.